UACGUAGGGCGCAAGCGUUGUCCGGAAUUAUUGGGCGUAAAGAGCUCGUAGGCGGCUUGUCACGUCGGGUGUGAAAGCCCGGGGCUUAACCCCGGGUCUGCAUUCGAUACGGGCUGGCUAGAGUGUGGUAGGGGAGAUCGGAAUUCCUGGUGUAGCGGUGAAAUGCGCAGAUAUCAGGAGGAACACCGGUGGCGAAGGCGGAUCUCUGGGCCGUUACUGACGCUGAGGAGCGAAAGCGUGGGGAGCGAACAGG
RNAcentral lists this ribosomal RNA (253 nucleotides) under uncultured bacterium. Its description in RNAcentral is "partial 16S ribosomal RNA". It matches the Rfam family "Bacterial small subunit ribosomal RNA", at positions 524 to 776 of the family's 1533-position model. The record is from RNAcentral.